UUAUUUUUCUUAUGGUUUAUGUUUAUUCAUUAUAUAUAUCAUUGUCAUCAUUCUCAUGCUUAUAUUGUCAUGAAAGUCAUCUUUGGCACGUAGUGCAUAGAUGGACUUGGUAUGAUUAUGACCAGGGAUUAUUCGGUAUAAUCAUGACUGUAAUGUUACAAAUGAUGUGGUGAAAGUCAUCUUUGGCCCGUAGUGCAUAGAUGGACUUGGUAUGAUUAUGACCAGAGAUUUUUCGAUAUAAUCAUGACCGUAAUUGAAAACAUGAAUAUCCUUGGCCCGUAGUGCAUGGAUAAUUCGUGGUCGUGAUACUAUUAAGCCGAGUCUCAGCAUUAUUGAUUUUACAGUUGUAUAAAUGGAAUUGUCAGUAGUGUAUUUUUUGGCGACCCAAGAUGGGUGAUGUAUACCUAUUUUGGGGGCGUCACAUGUAG
RNAcentral lists this long non-coding RNA (428 nucleotides) under Panax ginseng (ginseng). RNAcentral describes it as "long non-coding RNA (PGIN_LNC006405)". Lineage: Eukaryota; Viridiplantae; Streptophyta; Magnoliopsida; Apiales; Araliaceae. The record is from RNAcentral.